Molecule: ribosomal RNA, 541 nt
Filed under: uncultured bacterium
Lineage: Bacteria
Description: bacterial SSU rRNA
Rfam family: Bacterial small subunit ribosomal RNA
Source: RNAcentral
UGAGGAAUAUUGGUCAAUGGACGGAAGUCUGAACCAGCCAAGUAGCGUGCAGGAUUGACGGCCCUAUGGGUUGUAAACUGCUUUUGUUGGGGAGUAAAGUGAGGCACGCGUGCCUUUUUGCAUUUACCCUUCGAAUAAGGACCGGCUAAUUCCGUGCCAGCAGCCGCGGUAAUACGGAAGGUCCAGGCGUUAUCCGGAUUUAUUGGGUUUAAAGGGAGUGUAGGCGGUCUGUUAAGCGUGUUGUGAAAUUUAGGUGCUCAACAUCUACCUUGCAGCGCGAACUGGCGGACUUGAGUGCACGCAACGUAUGCGGAAUUCAUGGUGUAGCGGUGAAAUGCUUAGAUAUCAUGACGAACUCCGAUUGCGAAGGCAGCGUACGGGAGUGUUACUGACGCUUAAGCUCGAAGGUGCGGGUAUCGAACAGGAUUAGAUACCCUGGUAGUCCGCACGGUAAACGAUGGANGCCCGCUGUUAGCGCCUGGCGUUAGCGGCUAAGCGAAAGCAUUAAGCAUCCCACCUGGGGAGUACGCCGGCAACGGUG